This 768-nucleotide long non-coding RNA is filed under the name Numida meleagris (helmeted guineafowl). Its description in RNAcentral is "lncRNA (ENSNMEG00000020739.1)". Lineage: Eukaryota; Metazoa; Chordata; Aves; Galliformes; Numididae. The record is from RNAcentral.
GUUACUUACCCAAAUAACAUGUGGUAAGAAGUCAAGCCCUGAGGAAUUGUUAGGUGGAAAUAGAUGAUCCUUCUGUGGCUUUAUAUACAUCCUACCCUACUUGAGCAAAGUCCAGAGAAUCUCUUAGUGCUGCUUAGGGAAAUUUUAUCAGCAUCAGUAUAAUAUUAAGAGGAGGAAUCAAGCAAUUAAUUUCUUUCAAGGUUAGAAAUUGUUUAUGUGUGGAACAUGUUCGUGUCAAACUGUCUGGAUUUUGGCUGAGAAAUCUGCUUUCUUCGGGAGCUUUCACUGAACUGGAGUGGUGGAGGUGUUUCAGGUUCAUGUACCCAAAGGAUAACGUUUAUCAUGCUCCGGUUCGGCCAGCACUUCAUCAAGCCCUCUGUGGUCUUCCUGAAGACCGAGCUCUCCUUUGCUCUCGUGAACCGCAAGCCAGUGGUCCCGGGCCGUAUCCUUCUGAGCAGUGCCUUCACCAUGGGCACCUGCGCUCCUGGGAGAAGCAGGGAAGCUCGGUGUGCUCCUCAGGCCAGGUAGGGUUCUGCGCGGAUUUAUUCUGAAGCCAGGCGGUGGAACCUAGCACGCUUGGUUGGUGAUGCAGAACUGCCGAAAACAGUUGCUUAGCAACUGUGACCUUAGAGGUGAAUUUCUAUUGACCUUUUCACCACAGAAGAUGUAUAAACAGCCAGGUGCUACUAAAAGCAUUUUAAAGUGUGUCUGAGGGGCUACUGUUUAAGUCCCAUAUUAUGCUAAAUAAAACAUCCUGCUUCCCUUUCA